RNAcentral lists this ribosomal RNA (253 nucleotides) under uncultured bacterium. RNAcentral describes it as "partial 16S ribosomal RNA". It matches the Rfam family "Bacterial small subunit ribosomal RNA", at positions 524 to 776 of the family's 1533-position model. The record is from RNAcentral.
UACGUAGGGUGCGAGCGUUGUCCGGAAUUACUGGGCGUAAAGAGCUCGUAGGCGGUUUGUCGCGUCUGCUGUGAAAACUGGGGGCUCAACCCCCAGCCUGCAGUGGGUACGGGCAGACUAGAGUGCGGUAGGGGAGAUUGGAAUUCCUGGUGUAGCGGUGGAAUGCGCAGAUAUCAGGAGGAACACCGAUGGCGAAGGCAGAUCUCUGGGCCGUAACUGACGCUGAGGAGCGAAAGCAUGGGGAGCGAACAGG